RNAcentral lists this transfer RNA (73 nucleotides) under Haliotis rubra (blacklip abalone). RNAcentral describes it as "tRNA-Thr". It matches the Rfam family "tRNA". From Rfam's summary of the family: Transfer RNA (tRNA) molecules are approximately 80 nucleotides in length. Their secondary structure includes four short double-helical elements and three loops (D, anti-codon, and T loops). The record is from RNAcentral. Lineage: Eukaryota; Metazoa; Mollusca; Gastropoda; Lepetellida; Haliotidae.
AGCCUCGGUGGCCAAGUGGUAAGGCGUCGGUCUCGUAAACCGAAGAUCCUGGGUUCAAAUCCCAGUCGGGCUU